AGUGAACGCUGCGGUAGGCCUAACACAUGCAAGUCGAACGGCAGCACAGUAAGAGCUUGCUCUUACGGGUGGCGAGUGGCGGACGGGUGAGGAAUACAUCGGAAUCUACUUUUUCGUGGGGGAUAACGUAGGGAAACUUACGCUAUUACCGCAUACGACCUACGGGUGAAAGCAGGGGAUCUUCGGACCUUGCGCGAUUGAAUGAGCCGAUGUCGGAUUAGCUAGUUGGCGGGGUAAAGGCCCACCAAGGCGACGAUCCGUAGCUGGUCUGAGAGGAUGAUCAGCCACACUGGAACUGAGACACGGUCCAGACUCCUACGGGAGGCAGCAGUGGGGAAUAUUGGACAAUGGGCGCAAGCCUGAUCCAGCCAUACCGCGUGGGUGAAGAAGGCCUUCGGGUUGUAAAGCCCUUUUGUUGGGAAAGAAAAGCAGCAGGUUAAUACCCCGCUGUUCUGACGGUACCCAAAGAAUAAGCACCGGCUAACUUCGUG
This 491-nucleotide ribosomal RNA is filed under the name uncultured bacterium. RNAcentral's name for it is "partial 16S ribosomal RNA". It matches the Rfam family "Bacterial small subunit ribosomal RNA", at positions 29 to 507 of the family's 1533-position model. The record is from RNAcentral.